This 157-nucleotide unclassified non-coding RNA is filed under the name uncultured Hypocreales. Its description in RNAcentral is "sequence contains ITS1". The record is from RNAcentral. Lineage: Eukaryota; Fungi; Ascomycota; Sordariomycetes; Hypocreales.
ACGAGCGUAAAAACUCCAAACCUUUGUGAAUCUACCAUUCGUUGCUUCGGCGGGCGGCUCCCCGGGGGGCCUUGAAGCCCUCGCGGUGCCCGCCGACAGCCCCAUACUCUUCUGUAUUUCAGGCUUUUACCUUCUGAAUGCACAAACAAACAAGUAA